Molecule: long non-coding RNA, 1621 nt
Organism: Fopius arisanus
Lineage: Eukaryota; Metazoa; Arthropoda; Insecta; Hymenoptera; Braconidae
Exons: 3
Source: RefSeq, a predicted model, not a curated record
CGAUGGCGUAUUUUCAUGUGAACGUUCGUGAAGGCGGGGUACGCGUAUUUGAGUCGAUUUUAGUCGACUUGAUUUCCUGGAAAGGGGGGAAAUUACUGAAAAUGGUGGCUGCUUACGUAGGAGACGGACGAGACACAGAUAGACACAUCAUUAUUCAUAAAAAUUUUAUAAACUACCCAUUAUUUAUUCUAUUAUCAACUCCAGCCUCGGUCUUACCUCGGAUAAGUAUUUUCGAGGAACCAAAAGAAGUGAAAUGACGAUCAAAUAUCUGGGAAAUACAGAGUGCACUGAUUUGUACUACUGGAGUGAUAAAUCGAGUUAUGAAUCAGGAUGGCGAAAAUCAUCGGGAUUUGUCAAGUCGACGAUAAUUUUUGUCGUCAAGAAAUCCAGAGUACAUGCAAUUUGAGAGUAUUCACGCUUCCUGGGGAUUUGAGGACUGGCCAUUCGAAUUAGGUGAGCACAUAAUCGAGGGUUUGUCACACCUCCAUUUUAACAUCCGAUCAUUCUAAGAAGAUAAUUGAAAGUGAGUAAUAUUGUUGCGGUGAUUGAGUUGAUUAAAAAUAUAAUGAAAGAAGAGGAAGACGUACGCCGACGACGGGGUGUCCAAGAGCAGUCACUGGAGCUUCUUGUCAGGGAUUUUUCAAAGGUUCAAGCACGGUUGGGGGAUGAUUCUCCAGGGAGAAUCAUGUCAUAAUCCAGAUUAUGAGUUCAUUAGUGUUUUUUAUUCUGGAUAAUGGAGUUAACAUUUUUAGAUGCUGUGAGGUUUAGGUUCCUGUUGAGUUGAGAUUUUAGGUGUCCCAGUGAAGAAUUUCAUUGGAAAUAUUCUGAGGGUGCGGUGAUGGAUUUUUCAAAGUAGAUGGCUUUGGUAAAUAAUCUACGGGGAAAUUGAGAGGAGAAAAUUUUUAUUCGUCAAUGAGAUACGAGCCAUUUGAUGGAUAGGCUUCGUGGAAUAUUCAGUUUGGAAUUGAGAAAAUCAAAGACGUUAUACUCACGACCAUGAGAUCAACCACAUUUUUUAUGAAAUAAAUCAUUUCAGGGUGUUGUGUAGGUCAUUCAUCCCCUACCCUAUGUCUCAUUUAUGAGAAACAGAAUAUGACGUUCGGCUGAACGAAGGAACGAUAAAUGACAAUUUCAGGUGCAGAUGGGGAAGGCGAUUUGUCUCCCCGAAGGCUUCAUCUUCGUCGAUGAUUGUUUAAACAUUGAAUUAAUUCUUCGAAUCCGAAAAAAAAUGACACUUUCUCAUUUUCGUUUUCAUCUCCAUUGGUCACCGAGUUGAAGGGAAUUGUUAUAAAAAAUAUAUGACAUUCUGGGUGGGACGAUCAAUGAUCGACAAUUGUUUUUGUAUUUUUUACUGAUUUAUUCAAGCACUCAAAAAUUACACCAAGAAACUAGUAAUAAUGAUCUUAAAACUAAAAGGGAUAUUUAACACAGGUUCAAUAUUAAUUGUUUGUAUUUUUUUUUAUUCACAGUUUAUUGGUUUUUUACGCUGCUUUCUUAAUUUUAUCAAUUACCAACACGAAGAUCUAUUCCCUAAACCCUUAAACCAUUUUAUGAUGAGCCUAGAAAGGAUAAUUCCACAAUUUAUCAUGUUUAUGCAAAAUUCUUUUUAUUACUCCGCCAU